Molecule: ribosomal RNA, 765 nt
Filed under: uncultured Streptococcus sp.
Lineage: Bacteria; Bacillati; Bacillota; Bacilli; Lactobacillales; Streptococcaceae
Description: bacterial SSU rRNA
Rfam family: Bacterial small subunit ribosomal RNA
Source: RNAcentral
GACGAACGCUGGCGGCGUGCCUAAUACAUGCAAGUAGAACGCUGAAGAGAGGAGCUUGCUCUUCUUGGAUGAGUUGCGAACGGGUGAGUAACGCGUAGGUAGCCUGCCUUGUAGCGGGGGAUAACUAUUGGAAACGAUAGCUAAUACCGCAUAACAAUGGAUGACACAUGUCAUUUAUUUGAAAGGGGCAAUUGCUCCACUACAAGAUGGACCUGCGUUGUAUUAGCUAGUAGGUGAGGUAACGGCUCACCUAGGCGACGAUACAUAGCCGACCUGAGAGGGUGAUCGGCCACACUGGGACUGAGACACGGCCCAGACUCCUACGGGAGGCAGCAGUAGGGAAUCUUCGGCAAUGGGGGCAACCCUGACCGAGCAACGCCGCGUGAGUGAAGAAGGUUUUCGGAUCGUAAAGCUCUGUUGUAAGUCAAGAACGAGUGUGAGAGUGGAAAGUUCACACUGUGACGGUAGCUUACCAGAAAGGGACGGCUAACUACGUGCCAGCAGCCGCGGUAAUACGUAGGUCCCGAGCGUUGUCCGGAUUUAUUGGGCGUAAAGCGAGCGCAGGCGGUUUGAUAAGUCUGAAGUUAAAGGCUGUGGCUCAACCAUAGUUCGCUUUGGAAACUGUCAAACUUGAGUGCAGAAGGGGAGAGUGGAAUUCCAUGUGUAGCGGUGAAAUGCGUAGAUAUAUGGAGGAACACCGGUGGCGAAAGCGGCUCUCUGGUCUGUAACUGACGCUGAGGCUCGAAAGCGUGGGGAGCGAACAGG